This 720-nucleotide ribosomal RNA is filed under the name uncultured bacterium. Its description in RNAcentral is "bacterial SSU rRNA". It matches the Rfam family "Bacterial small subunit ribosomal RNA", at positions 8 to 712 of the family's 1533-position model. The record is from RNAcentral.
AGAGUUUGAUCCUGGCUCAGAUUGAACGCUGGCGGCAUGCUUUACACAUGCAAGUCGAACGGUAACGCGGGGGCAACCCUGGCGACGAGUGGCGAACGGGUGAGUAAUACAUCGGAACAUGUCCUGGAGUGGGGGAUAGCUCGGCGAAAGCCGGAUUAAUACCGCAUACGCUCUGAGGAGGAAAGCGGGGGACCCGCAAGGGCCUCGCGCUGCAGGAGUGGCCGAUGUCGGAUUAGCUAGUUGGUGAGGUAAAGGCUCACCAAGGCGACGAUCCGUAGCUGGUCUGAGAGGAUGAUCAGCCACACUGGGACUGAGACACGGCCCAGACUCCUACGGGGAGGCAGCAGUGGGGAAUUUUGGACAAUGGGGGCAACCCUGAUCCAGCCAUGCCGCGUGAGUGAAGAAGGCCUUCGGGUUGUAAAGCUCUUUCGGGAUGGAACGAAAUGGUUACGGUGAAUAGCCGUGACUNGAUGACGGUACCGUAAGAAGAAGCACCGGCUAACUACGUGCCACCAGCCGCGCGUAAUACGUAGGGUGCGAGGCGUUAAUCGGAAUUACUGGGCGUAAAGCGUGCGCAGGCGGUUCGCCAAGUCAGGUGUGAAAUCCCCGGGNCUUUAACCUGGGAAUUGCGCUUGANACUAGCGGGCUUGAGUGUGGGCANAGGGGGGUGGAAUUCCACGUGUAGCAGUGAAAUGCGUAUAGAUGUGGCANGAACACNGA